Molecule: non-coding RNA, 830 nt
Organism: Pelodiscus sinensis (Chinese soft-shelled turtle)
Lineage: Eukaryota; Metazoa; Chordata; Testudines; Trionychidae
Source: RefSeq, a predicted model, not a curated record
UCAUUUCCUGGCAGUUGAAGGAGAAUGUCACCGUCUUCAGCCCAGGUUUUCAAUUUAUGUUCCUUGUAGUUCUAAAGUCAGACUGAGCUGAAAAUAAAGCAUCUGGAGGCCUUUUUAAAGAGUUUUAUUUGAGUGGUUCUUACAAAGAUUGUUGCAAUAUGAAAGUCGUUUGUUUGAUAGAAAUAUCAAGCUGUCUUGUCAAACACACUGAAGUAACCCAAAAAUAUAUUUCAGAGCUCACAGAGCUUAAAAAGAGCAAAGAUUAUAUAUGCAACCAGACAAAACACAUUUCUGCAUUUUCUACUUAUUUAGGCUUUGCUGAGUAUCAUUAAACUGUGCACACUACCUAUAUUCAACUUUUCUCUGGAAAUGCAGAGUGUGUUUUGUUUGGAACCCUAGACAUACCUCACAUAGUAUUUACAAAGAAACUUACAGAUACAUCAAUCAAAAAUGGCCAUCAAGAAAUAAAACGCUUGAAUCCUCCCAUUCUUAACUACUGCUCAUCAUAAAGCAAGCUGUGUAGUUGACCAAAAUCAGCUCCUCCAGUAGCCUUUUGAAUUCUCCAUUUAUACAAAACACUAAAUAUGUCCCUUCAUAAAUUCUAUCAGAUAUUAACCUUUAACAGACCACCUACAUUUAGUGAGAUGUAAAAUGUAAUUACUGUAUUAAAAGAAAGGCUUGUGAAACAUUAAAAAUAUUAUGUUCCAUCUGCCUUUUACAGAAAAUUUGUUUCUAUCAGCUACUUCUCAGGUCCUACAGAACACCUCAGUAAAUGUACAAGAAUUACAAGGCAGAACAAGAAGUCAAACAGCUUUGUACACAGUGGGAAU